AAAACCGACACAGGUGGAUGAGGAGAGGAUCCUAAGGCCGGCGGGAGAAGUGUUGUUAAGGAACUCGGCAAAAUGACUCCGUAACUUCGGGAGAAGGAGUGCUGCGCAAGCAGCCGCAGAGAAAUGACCCAAGCAACUGUUUAGCAAAAACACAGGUCUAUGCGAAACCGGAAGGUGAGGUAUAUGGGCUGACGCCUGCCCGGUGCUGGAAGGUUAAGGGGAGAGCUUAGCGCAAGCGAAGGUUUGAACUUAAGCCCCAGUAAACGGCGGCCGUAACUAUAACGGUCCUAAGGUAGCGAAAUUCCUUGUCGGGUAAGUUCCGACCCGCACGAAAGGCGUAAUGAUUUGGGCACUGUCUCAACAACACACCCGGUGAAAUUGAAAUACCAGUGAAGAUGCUGGUUACCCGCGCCAGGACGGAAAGACCCCAUGGAGCUUUACUCCAGCCUGAUACUGGGAUUCGGUAUUGCAUGUACAGGAUAGGUGGGAGGCUAAGAACUCAUGGCGCCAGCCGUGAGGGAGCCGGUGUUGGGAUACCACCCCUGCAGUACUGGGUUUCUAACCUGCGCCCGUGACCCGGGCGGGGGACAAUGUCAGGCGGGGAGUUUGACUGGGGCGGUCGCCUCCGAAAGGGUAUCGGAGGCGCUCAAAGGUCUCCUCAGGAUGGUUGGAAACCAUCCAGAGAGUGCAAAGGCAGAAGGAGGCUUGACUGCGACACCGACGGGUGGAGCAGGUACGAAAGUAGGACUUAGUGAUCCGGUGGCAUAAAGUGGGAUUGCCAUCGCUCAACGGAUAAAAGCUACCCUGGGAUAACAGGCUUAUCACUCCCAAGAGUUCACAUCGACGGAGUGGUUUGGCACCUCGAUGUCGGCUCAUCGCAUCCUGGAGCUGGAGCAGGUUCCAAGGGUUGGGCUGUUCGCCCAUUAAAGCGGUACGCGAGCUGGGUUCAGAACGUCGUGAGACAGUUCGGUCCCUAUCCGGCGCGGGCGCAGGAUAUCUGAGAGGAGCUGUCCUUAGUACGAGAGGACCGGGAUGGACCGUCCGCUGGUGGACCGGUUGUCAUGCCAAUGGCACGGCCGGGUAGCCAAGACGGGAAGGGAUAAACGCUGAAGGCAUCUAAGCGUGAAGCCCCCCUCAAGAUGAGAUAUCCAUACUCGAAAGAGUGAGAGACCCCUUAGAGACGAUGAGGUAGAUAGGGCAGGGAUGGAAGCACAGCGAUGUGUGGAGUUGACUGUUACUAAUCGGUCGAUAGCUCG
Molecule: ribosomal RNA, 1256 nt
Filed under: metagenome
Description: bacterial LSU rRNA
Rfam family: Bacterial large subunit ribosomal RNA
Source: RNAcentral